RNAcentral lists this long non-coding RNA (1698 nucleotides) under Marmota monax (woodchuck). The record is from RNAcentral. Lineage: Eukaryota; Metazoa; Chordata; Mammalia; Rodentia; Sciuridae.
AUUUCAGCCAGAUAAAGGAAACAAUGUAUUUAGCUCCUAUUAGAGACAAAAUAAUUAGAAUAAUUAUCAAUUAAUAAUAAAUACAAGUACCCAGAAAUUAAGCAGGUAGAAUUCAAUAUGUGAAAAUGUUAAAGGGAAAGAAAUGUUCCAUUGAGGACAGCUUUAGCCACAAAUUUCCAAAGCCUAUUUAAAGUUGAAACCUUUUGAAAUUAAAUAUAAGGGGAAGUGUUUUUCUACACUUAAAUAUAAAACUAAAUUAAGAAAGUUAUAUAUUUUAAAAAUAUUUAGAGGAUCAGACAAUAAAUUAGACAAGAUGCUAUUUUAAAAUGUGUUUGAACUUUUCUGAACAUCAUUUCUUUCUUUUUUUUUUAAAGAGAGAGAGAGAGAGAGAGAGAAUUUUUAAUAUUUAUAUUUUUUAGUUUUCAGCGGACACAACAUCUUUGUUUGUAUGUGGUGCUGAGGAUCGAACCCGGGCCGCACGCAUGCCAGCAGAGUGUGCUACCGCUUGAGCCAUAUCCGCAGCCCAACAUCAUUUCUUAAAUACUGUCCAACUUUAACAUGGUCACAACUUGUGUUGCAGCCUCAUUGUAUUAAUCAUUCCUCCCCCAAAUUGCCUUGUGCUUUUCAGGUCUGUGGCCCUGUUCUACUCAAAAUGCUGCCCACUCCUUAUUCUUUGAGCCCUGGCCCAGAUGCUAACUCCUUUGUGAAGUCUGACUUGUGGCCUGAUUUAGCUUUUUAUUUGUGUAGGAGCACUUAUCAAAUGGUGUUGUAUUUUUCAUUUCAUUUUUCAUAUCUCUUCCUCAUCAGAUUAUGAACUUAUCUAAUGCUUUUUAAGUUUCUAGCAUUCACCAUUAACCCUAUUAUGUAGUAGACACUUAGUGUUAGCUGAUGAAUGUUGUCUGUCUAUAAAAGUUAUAUGUAGACUAAAGGAAACUAUGUUUAGUGUUCUUCCAGCCUUUAUUGAAAAGAUGUUAUAAAAUAUAUUAGGAGAGAUUGGAGAAACCCCAACAAGAAUAGAAUUAGUUUUAUUGUUUGACCUUUGAUAAAGAGUUGUAGAAAGCUGGGGAAAACUUUAGAGAAAAGAAAGCAGCAAAGGUGAUUUAGUAAAAACAAAAGAAUGGAUGUCAUAGACGUUAGUGUUCUCUUCCUCAAGACCAACUACACGUGUCAUGAAGUAAUCAGUUCAGAUAAUAUCUUUUUGAUGAUAGGCGUAGAAGGACUCUGGAGGAGGUUGUUGAUUUGGGGGAAAUUUGUUCAUCCCUUGUCACACCCCACCACAGAUAUUCAGGGAGAGAAGUAUGAAUAGCCGAUGCCUGGCGACCUCAUUCCAUAUGAAAAUUCAGAAAGUUUCAUAACCAUCAUCCAACUAAUCAAUUUGAGAUUCCCAAACCUAUGCUUACCAGGGGCAGUUGUGGAGGUUGUGGAAAUAGGAUCUGAGGGAAAAACGGUGAUACUUGUAGUGGGAAAAAGUUAAAUCUCUAUGAAAAGAAAUAUAAUGUGAGUAAUUCUGACAGUUGAAAACAUUUAAAAUGAUGAAUGUGUCAUUUGAAAAUACAAAGUUUACCUGUGCACUGGAACUUCCUCCAGAUUGUUCAAGCUUGUAAAACAACAAGAGCAAUAAGGUAAGGCAGCAAAAGGCAGUAAAUGACCCAUUAAAAAGAGAUUUGAUUUUAAAAGAGAACAGGUAACAACCCACCA